AGUGAACGCUGGCGGCAGGCCUAACACAUGCAAGUCGAACGAACCCUUCGGGGUUAGUGGCGGACGGGUGAGUAACACGUGGGAACGUGCCUUUAGGCCCGGAAUAACUCUGGGAAACUUGUGCUAAUACCGAAUGUGCCCUUCGGGGGAAAGAUUAAUCGCCUUUAGAGCCGCCGGCGUCUUACUAGAUAGUCGCUUGAGGUACUGGCUCACCAAGGCGACGCUCAGUAGCUGGUCUGAGAGGAUGGUCAGCAAAAUUAGGACAGAGACACGGCCCAAACUCAGGCGAGAGGGAGCAGGGGGGAAACUGGCACAUUGGGCGGAAGCAUGACGCAGCCAAGCCGCGAGAAUGAUGAAGGUCGUAGGAAUGUAAAAUUCUUUCUCCGGGGACGAUAAUGACGGAACCAGAAGAAGAAGCCCCGGCUAGCUGCGU
Molecule: ribosomal RNA, 433 nt
Filed under: uncultured bacterium
Lineage: Bacteria
Description: partial 16S ribosomal RNA
Rfam family: Bacterial small subunit ribosomal RNA
Source: RNAcentral